UGGAUGUAGAGGUUAUGGAGAGAGGGUUGACGUGGGGUUGGCCAAUGGUGGUAAGAGCACUAUGGAGGCAAGGUUGUCACUAUUCAUGGCUGGUUACGUGGAGGUGGGGAAGGUAGCAUGGUGGCAUGGUCACCAUUGGCCACAUGAAAUUCUAUGGCUGGAGGUAGCUUGAGGUGAAUGGAGCAAUGUGGCAAUCAGGGUUGAAUUACGGGUGAUGUCGUAGAGGGCUGGUAAGAAACUUUGUUUAAUGCUUAAUUAUCAGGGUGGACUGAGUGGAUUGAAUGGGAACAAAGAAGAAAGGGAAGAGAAUGAAUGAAGGUUAGAAGGCAAGAAGAGAAAGAUAAAUAGGGAGGGGAGACCACUUAUUUCCAUGUAAGGGCAUGUUCGGUUUGCCAGGGAUUAGCUGGGAGUGUUGCCCGACCCACGAGGGUUACCCCGGCUUGGAAGAGAUCCCGAGCCAUGAGAUACCUUGCGUUUGGUUAGUCCACAUGGGGUUCUUAACCUGGCCCAACCCCCCAAAAUCAACUUAUCCCAGCCCGGGAAUCCACCCAUGAGUGAGGAAGCGCGAAACGGAUCCUUGCCUAGGUGUGCAGCAUGGGCGAUGGUGGCGUGGCACUCUUGGCUCUCCCUUCCAGUGGUGCGGUGCUCUCCCCUCCGGCGGCUGCCCCCUCCAUAGCCACCUUCUCCACAGUGAGUUUCUCAUCACUCUCUUCC
Molecule: long non-coding RNA, 714 nt
Filed under: Setaria viridis
Lineage: Eukaryota; Viridiplantae; Streptophyta; Magnoliopsida; Poales; Poaceae
Description: long non-coding RNA (SVIR_LNC004393)
Source: RNAcentral